RNAcentral lists this ribosomal RNA (2904 nucleotides) under Enterobacter hormaechei. RNAcentral's name for it is "23S ribosomal RNA". It matches the Rfam family "Bacterial large subunit ribosomal RNA". The record is from RNAcentral. Lineage: Bacteria; Pseudomonadati; Pseudomonadota; Gammaproteobacteria; Enterobacterales; Enterobacteriaceae.
GGUUAAGCGACUAAGCGUACACGGUGGAUGCCCUGGCAGUCAGAGGCGAUGAAGGACGUGCUAAUCUGCGAAAAGCGCCGGCGAGGUGAUAUGAACCUUUGACCCGGCGAUGUCCGAAUGGGGAAACCCAGUGUGUUCCGACACACUAUCGUUAACUGAAUACAUAGGUUAACGAGGCGAACCGGGGGAACUGAAACAUCUAAGUACCCCGAGGAAAAGAAAUCAACCGAGAUUCCCCCAGUAGCGGCGAGCGAACGGGGAGCAGCCCGGAGUCUGAAUCAGCUUGUGUGUUAGUGGAACGGUCUGGAAAGUCCGACGGUACAGGGUGAUAGUCCCGUACACGAAAAUGCACAGGUUGUGAACUCGAAGAGUAGGGCGGGACACGUGGUAUCCUGUCUGAAUAUGGGGGGACCAUCCUCCAAGGCUAAAUACUCCUGACUGACCGAUAGUGAACCAGUACCGUGAGGGAAAGGCGAAAAGAACCCCGGCGAGGGGAGUGAAAAAGAACCUGAAACCGUGUACGUACAAGCAGUGGGAGCCUCUUUAUGGGGUGACUGCGUACCUUUUGUAUAAUGGGUCAGCGACUUAUAUUCUGUAGCAAGGUUAACCGUAUAGGGGAGCCGAAGGGAAACCGAGUCUUAACUGGGCGUUAAGUUGCAGGGUAUAGACCCGAAACCCGGUGAUCUAGCCAUGGGCAGGUUGAAGGUUGGGUAACACUAACUGGAGGACCGAACCGACUAAUGUUGAAAAAUUAGCGGAUGACCUGUGGCUGGGGGUGAAAGGCCAAUCAAACCGGGAGAUAGCUGGUUCUCCCCGAAAGCUAUUUAGGUAGCGCCUCGUGAACUCAUCUUCGGGGGUAGAGCACUGUUUCGGCUAGGGGGCCAUCCCGGCUUACCAACCCGAUGCAAACUACGAAUACCGAAGAAUGUUAUCACGGGAGACACACGGCGGGUGCUAACGUCCGUCGUGAAGAGGGAAACAACCCAGACCGCCAGCUAAGGUCCCAAAGUCAUGGUUAAGUGGGAAACGAUGUGGGAAGGCACAGACAGCCAGGAUGUUGGCUUAGAAGCAGCCAUCAUUUAAAGAAAGCGUAAUAGCUCACUGGUCGAGUCGGCCUGCGCGGAAGAUGUAACGGGGCUAAACCAUGCACCGAAGCUGCGGCAGCGACACUAUGUGUUGUUGGGUAGGGGAGCGUUCUGUAAGCCGUUGAAGGUGUGCUGUGAGGCAUGCUGGAGGUAUCAGAAGUGCGAAUGCUGACAUAAGUAACGAUAAAGCGGGUGAAAAGCCCGCUCGCCGGAAGACCAAGGGUUCCUGUCCAACGUUAAUCGGGGCAGGGUGAGUCGACCCCUAAGGCGAGGCCGAAAGGCGUAGUCGAUGGGAAACAGGUUAAUAUUCCUGUACUUGGUGUUACUGCGAAGGGGGGACGGAGAAGGCUAUGUCAGCCGGGCGACGGUUGUCCCGGUUUAAGCAUGUAGGCGGAGGUUCCAGGUAAAUCCGGUACCUUUUAACGCUGAGGUGUGAUGACGAGGCACUACGGUGCUGAAGUGAUAAAUGCCCUGCUUCCAGGAAAAGCCUCUAAGCAUCAGGUAACACGAAAUCGUACCCCAAACCGACACAGGUGGUCAGGUAGAGAAUACCAAGGCGCUUGAGAGAACUCGGGUGAAGGAACUAGGCAAAAUGGUGCCGUAACUUCGGGAGAAGGCACGCUGAUAUGUAGGUGAAGCCCCUGCGGGCGGAGCUGAAAUCAGUCGAAGAUACCAGCUGGCUGCAACUGUUUAUUAAAAACACAGCACUGUGCAAACACGAAAGUGGACGUAUACGGUGUGACGCCUGCCCGGUGCCGGAAGGUUAAUUGAUGGGGUUAGCGGCAACGCGAAGCUCUUGAUCGAAGCCCCGGUAAACGGCGGCCGUAACUAUAACGGUCCUAAGGUAGCGAAAUUCCUUGUCGGGUAAGUUCCGACCUGCACGAAUGGCGUAAUGAUGGCCAGGCUGUCUCCACCCGAGACUCAGUGAAAUUGAACUCGCUGUGAAGAUGCAGUGUACCCGCGGCAAGACGGAAAGACCCCGUGAACCUUUACUAUAGCUUGACACUGAACACUGGUCCUUGAUGUGUAGGAUAGGUGGGAGGCUUUGAAGCGUGGACGCCAGUCUGCGUGGAGCCAUCCUUGAAAUACCACCCUUUAAUGGCUGGUGUUCUAACGUAGACCCGUGAUCCGGGUUGCGGACAGUGUCUGGUGGGUAGUUUGACUGGGGCGGUCUCCUCCCAAAGAGUAACGGAGGAGCACGAAGGUUGGCUAAUCCUGGUCGGACAUCAGGAGGUUAGUGCAAUGGCAUAAGCCAGCUUGACUGCGAGCGUGACGGCGCGAGCAGGUGCGAAAGCAGGUCAUAGUGAUCCGGUGGUUCUGAAUGGAAGGGCCAUCGCUCAACGGAUAAAAGGUACUCCGGGGAUAACAGGCUGAUACCGCCCAAGAGUUCAUAUCGACGGCGGUGUUUGGCACCUCGAUGUCGGCUCAUCACAUCCUGGGGCUGAAGUAGGUCCCAAGGGUAUGGCUGUUCGCCAUUUAAAGUGGUACGCGAGCUGGGUUUAGAACGUCGUGAGACAGUUCGGUCCCUAUCUGCCGUGGGCGCUGGAGAAUUGAGGGGGGCUGCUCCUAGUACGAGAGGACCGGAGUGGACGCAUCACUGGUGUUCGGGUUGUCAUGCCAAUGGCACUGCCCGGUAGCUAAAUGCGGAAGAGAUAAGUGCUGAAAGCAUCUAAGCACGAAACUUGCCCCGAGAUGAGUUCUCCCUGAGACUUUAAGUCUCCUGAAGGAACGUUGAAGACGACGACGUUGAUAGGUCGGGUGUGUAAGCGCAGCGAUGCGUUGAGCUAACCGAUACUAAUGAACCGUGAGGCUUAACCUU